Molecule: ribosomal RNA, 463 nt
Filed under: uncultured bacterium
Lineage: Bacteria
Description: bacterial SSU rRNA
Rfam family: Bacterial small subunit ribosomal RNA
Source: RNAcentral
UUAGGCCUAACAAUGCAAGUCGAACGGUAACAGGAAGAAGCUUGCUUCUUUGCUGACGAGUGGCGGACGGGUGAGUAAUGUCUGGGAAACUGCCUGAUGGAGGGGGAUAACUACUGGAAACGGUAGCUAAUACCGCAUAACGUCGCAAGACCAAAGAGGGGGACCUUCGGGCCUCUUGCCAUCGGAUGUGCCCAGAUGGGAUUAGCUAGUAGGUGGGGUAACGGCUCACCUAGGCGACGAUCCCUAGCUGGUCUGAGAGGAUGACCAGCCACACUGGAACUGAGACACGGUCCAGACUCCUACGGGAGGCAGCAGUGGGGAAUAUUGCACAAUGGGCGCAAGCCUGAUGCAGCCAUGCCGCGUGUAUGAAGAAGGCCUUCGGGUUGUAAAGUACUUUCAGCGGGGAGGAAGGGAGUAAAGUUAAUACCUUGCUCAUGACGUACCCGCAGAGAGCACUGCGUUA